GAUGACUCCACACCCUGUGAUCCGCUGGUUAGAUCACUGGAAAGGCUCCAGGAACUAAUUCAUGUGUCCUCUCUAAAUGCAAUGAGGUCUCGUCUGGAUCUGAUAGCCAAAAAACAGGGGAUGGGUUUUCACUUCACUGACACCACAUGCUACUUGACAGCUGGUUUGUUCUACCUUGAGGUGCUGUUGCUGCCAAGUGGUGAGGUUGAGGACGUGAA
Long non-coding RNA from Thalassophryne amazonica, 218 nucleotides. RefSeq lists it as uncharacterized. The record is from RefSeq and is a predicted model, not a curated record. The transcript has 3 exons. NCBI's taxonomy places the organism in Eukaryota, Metazoa, Chordata, Actinopteri, Batrachoidiformes, Batrachoididae.